This is a long non-coding RNA of Dendronephthya gigantea, 366 nucleotides long. RefSeq lists it as uncharacterized. The transcript is spliced from 3 exons. Lineage: Eukaryota; Metazoa; Cnidaria; Anthozoa; Malacalcyonacea; Nephtheidae. The record is from RefSeq and is a predicted model, not a curated record.
CCUGCAUUUCAGGAUUGUCCUUAGAAGCGGAAGUAUCCAGAUUUUUUUUUCGAGAGUCUUUAAAACCGUCGUGAUUUACCUGUGCUGAAACAAUGAAAUUUUCACAAGUUUUCAUUUUGCUUUGCGCGUUGUUUGCAAUGUCGUUCGCUGUGCCGUUGGCUAGCAAUGAUGGCAAAGAGGUUCAAGACAAGAGGUUCGUCGGAGCUUGGCUGAUAAAAAAAGCAUUGUCGAAAGGAAUAUCCGUAUUAUUGUCACAAGUGUGUAAACUUAACUCAUUGUCUUCCAAUGUGCAAAGCAUAUGCGGGUGUGCCACGGCAGUUGGUGGGUUUGUCGGUGAUGAAGGUGAAUAUAUAUAAAUAUAUAUAU